AAAAACUUAGGUUAACUAAACCAAGGGCCUUCAAAGCCCUAAACAAGGAGUAAAACUCUUUAGUUUUUG
RNAcentral lists this transfer RNA (69 nucleotides) under Anolis quercorum. RNAcentral describes it as "tRNA-Trp". It matches the Rfam family "tRNA". Rfam says of the family: Transfer RNA (tRNA) molecules are approximately 80 nucleotides in length. Their secondary structure includes four short double-helical elements and three loops (D, anti-codon, and T loops). The record is from RNAcentral. Lineage: Eukaryota; Metazoa; Chordata; Lepidosauria; Squamata; Anolidae.